RNAcentral lists this ribosomal RNA (497 nucleotides) under uncultured bacterium. Its description in RNAcentral is "partial 16S ribosomal RNA". It matches the Rfam family "Bacterial small subunit ribosomal RNA", at positions 28 to 507 of the family's 1533-position model. The record is from RNAcentral.
GACGAACGCUGGCGGCGUGCCUAAUACAUGCAAGUUGAGCGAUGAAGAUUGGUGCUUGCACCAAUUUGAAGAGCAGCGAACGGGUGAGUAACGCGUGGGGAAUCUGCCUUUAAGCGGGGGACAACAUUUGGAAACGAAUGCUAAUACCGCAUAACAACUUUAAACAUAAGUUUUAAGUUUGAAAGAUGCAAUUGCAUCACUCAAAGAUGAUCCCGCGUUGUAUUAGCUAGUUGGUGAGGUAAAGGCUCACCAAGGCGAUGAUACAUAGCCGACCUGAGAGGGUGAUCGGCCACAUUGGGACUGAGACACGGCCCAAACUCCUACGGGAGGCAGCAGUAGGGAAUCUUCGGCAAUGGACGAAAGUCUGGCCGAGCAACGCCGCGUGAGUGAAGAAGGUUUUCGGAUCGUAAAACUCUGUUGGUAGAGAAGAACGUUGGUGAGAGUGGAAAGCUCAUCAAGUGACGGUAACUACCCAGAAAGGGACGGCUAACUACGUG